GGCAGGAAGGCGCAGGGUGCGUGUCGGCUUUUGAUAAAGUGAAAAGAUUGCACGAAAAUGGACCGAAGGUCCCCGUUCGACUCGGGGUCCUGCCA
This is a non-coding RNA of Mycena rebaudengoi, 95 nucleotides long. NCBI's taxonomy places the organism in Eukaryota, Fungi, Basidiomycota, Agaricomycetes, Agaricales, Mycenaceae. The record is from the annotation of a GenBank genome assembly.